This 122-nucleotide microRNA precursor is filed under the name Pelobates cultripes (western spadefoot toad). Lineage: Eukaryota; Metazoa; Chordata; Amphibia; Anura; Pelobatidae. The record is from RNAcentral.
CUAGCUACCAUGCUCCCUCAAGGUUCCCAUGAUUCCCAGCAUCUACUCAUCAUAGAGUAGGGAUUACUUUAUGAUUUGUAGAUGCUGGGAAUUCUGGGAACCGCGAGGGAGCAUGGUAGCUA